This is a long non-coding RNA of Saccostrea echinata, 308 nucleotides long. RefSeq lists it as uncharacterized. The record is from RefSeq and is a predicted model, not a curated record. NCBI's taxonomy places the organism in Eukaryota, Metazoa, Mollusca, Bivalvia, Ostreida, Ostreidae. The transcript has 3 exons.
CCCUGGAGUAGUGUACAGUGUAAGUGUCAGAUGGGUACGAACGUCAUCUUGUGACAGCAUCACCUUUGUUUGGCUAAAGUACAAGAGAACUGCAGCAUCUAAGACUACAUGUACAUCAACUUUGAAUAAUCUACCCGGUAUAUCCUCAAAAAGGCAACUCAAAUACAGAAAGUGCAUAUAAUUUGGAAAAGAGACCAUCAAUCCACUGGGGGGUAUCGCAUGAAAGCAAUGAUUAUAGAAUAUUGUAAGGCUGGAGGAGUUAUAGUACAACAGGCAGGCAAGUAAUGGUACUUUGUUCUGGAAAUUUU